GACAGCCUCGGACAGGCACCUUUCCCGGCCCCCGUGCCUCCAGCAGCCUCGGGGAGCCCCCAGUGACCCUCCAGGGAAGGAAUCGCCAGCCCAUUAGCUGCCGGAAUGGUCCCCGGUGGGGAGGGUGGCCCACCUGAGGCUGGAGAGGGGACGGGAGAGGAAACAGGGCAGGCCUGGCAGACGCGUUCGAGGAGCUGCCCAGGUUGGAUUUAGAUGAACAGAGGACAUCACGGGUCGCCCCGUCUUCAGGCACUUGUCGAAGGCCUCUGUUAGCACUGGAGGAGAGGGUCUCGCCCUCCCCACCUGCCAACCCCCCCCCCUCGCCCUCACCCCCACAGCCUCCCCGCCGGCUUCCUUUCCUCUGUCCACCCGCCCAGUCCUGCCCCGAGUCCUUGCCAGGCUUCACGGUCCGCACCCAGGGGCCAGCCUCAGUGCUGGGAAGGCGGCUCGGCUCGGCCCCUCGGCUGGCAGGAGCGGGGGCGGGUGGUCCUGUGGUUCCAAGUUAGUCCGAAGCUCCUCGCUCCGAGUGCCAGGGUGAUGGACGGUGCUUAAUUCCACAGGGACUUCAGCGUGGAGCUCGGCCUGGGUGCAGGCACGCGGGUUUCUCUCCCGCAGGCCUGGGCCCUAACCGCCGUGCCAAGUGGCCGGUAACCGACUGCUCUGAGAAGCCACGGGUUAUGGCCUGCAGCCCUAGUUAAGGCCCUGCGAGCUGCAGCCCUACUUCUCAAAAAGUAAGUGGCCUCGAGGAGGAUUUACGGAGCGUCUUGGAAGGGUGGAAGCUGGCCACCACAGUCUGCGCUCGCACGCUCGGACCGCAGGACGGUCGUUUAUUUUCCCGCCGUAUGAAGGUGCUGGCUCUCUGAGCAGCCUGAGACAAGGAGCACGGAGCAGACCAGAGGAGACGGAGACGCGGACAGUCUGGGCCACGCCGUGCCACGUUCAACCAUCCGCACGUCAACGCUAGGCUAUUUGCCCGGACCCGUUCCUUUCCACAUCUGUGGAGGCUCUUUGAAGAAUCCGAUACAUACCCAACUGCCCUUCCUACGGUGAACAUAUCUGAGCCCGAACGAAAACGCUGCCUCGUGCAGAGCGGUUAGUUCAGCGCCGCCGGGAGAGGGCGCGGGCGACGCCACCGGGUGCCGCAGAGUCGACCGUGCCUGCACCGCGCACCGUGACCCGCUGGGAGACGGGAGCCCCUGUGUGGAGGCCGCGGGCUGGGCUCUGGGCUCCCUCGACCCCCGGUGGAGAGUGCGACCCGACCUACAUCGCGGGACCGUUUGCCUGCGGCUCGCUGCCACGCGGGUCAGAGUCCCCCCGAGUCGCGGACGGCGCUGUUUUACCCGUUUGGUGAGCUGAGUGUCCAUCAUGAAGUUGUGCACGUGCUUCUCCGCCUUGCGCCAGCCCCAGACCGGGGCCAGGGGAGAAGACCACGCCUACACCAGAGGGGGACCAGCUUCACUGCCCUGGAGACUUUCCCUGGAACCAUCCAACAAAGAGACAGCGCCGCCCCAGGCGGCACCCACCCCACGACUGUGCUCGGCCCGCACUGGGGUCCUUCUGCCCAGAGGCCCCGGCUGCGACGUGGCCCCGGGACUGGCCCUGUCUCCCUCCCACCCACGCUGUGGAGACACGGCAACACUCCUGCUCCGACCAGGCCUUCAGGGAACCCCCAGACGCCCUCAGUCCUUCCCGGACCAAUGUUCUCACUCUGCGGGGCGGACGGGGGUCCCAGAGCCCCCUCCUCGAGCCCUCGGCCGCGGAAGUGACAGUCUGGGGAAUGAGCACACCCUGGUGCCCUCCCUUGUCCUCCUGGUGAAUCUGAGUCCUGUGCAGUGUCUGUCCCAACCCACCUGCCAGCUCGGGGACAGGGAGGUUUAUCCUCUGCUCAUCCUUCUGCCCUGCCCUGCUCCAGCCCCGCCCUGCUCAUGCCCUACCCCAGCCUUGCCCCUGCCCCUGCCCCAGCCCCGCCCCUGUCCUGCCCCAGCCCUGCCCCUGCUCUAUCCCGCACAAUGGCCUCAUGGGAAGAGAGGAGCAGUCUGGCCCUCUAGAUGCCACACCAUUUGCCCCAAGCCCGGUUUAGCACUUCGAGGUGGCAGGACUGAAAGGCUCCAUCCUUGAUGUUUUCGGCUCAUCAGUCUAUCAGGAUGAGUUAGAAAUAGAAAUGAGCGCUUUAGAAGGCACGUAACCAGUACUGCAGCUGGGAGGGGUGUCCAUGGCGAGGCCCCUCCCCUCCGUGGGCAGCGAGGCCUGUGCGGGUCUUUGGCUGAAGGACCAGUGCGUUCCCUGGCUUUUCACAGUGUCCCCACUGGAUGGUCUCAUGUUUCUCGGUACCUUUGGAACCACCAUUUCCAGCACGACCAACUGGAAAGGCCUGGGUCUGUGAACCCUCCUUUCUGACCUCGUUUUCCUUUUGUUCAGGGAUGGCUGUGUGUUCUUGGCAUCUGUGACUUGCAGAAGACCGUGCCCACUUUUCAAAGGAUGUGUAUGGGCACUUGGGCAGCCUGGUCUAAUGCUGUAAUUGAUUUACCAAGCCUCCAAAAGCAAAAAAUAGCUUAAAAGAAGCUGUCCUGGGGGGAAGCUGUGCUCCACUCCCUUCAACCAGACCGCGUAUAAUCCCGCUCCUUUAUACGGGGUUCCAAACGUACUCUGGGCCGACAGUCCAAACACAGGGACUUAUCACAGCGUUCAAAACGGACAUUCGAUGGGGAGGGCUCUCCCUCGGCUCCGUUCUCCCUCACCUCCCGGGGUCAGCUCCGCUUCAAUCGCCCCUGAGAGCUGGGGGCAGAAGACGCCUGAGGAGGGGGUCCCCCGCUCAUCGUGUCGCUUUGGGGGUUUCAUCAAAACAGUCACUCCAGCACCAUCCUGGAUUUCAGGGUCCGAAAAGAGGGCCCCGGCUCUCGCCACGGCCCACAGCCUCACUGGUUAGAUGCAGGGGCUUCUAGUUAGAAGUUAGAGUGUUUUAACUAAUACACAACUAAGAUAAGUUUCUGCACGGAGACGGUAAGGUGGAUUGGAUUACAUUUUCAAUUUCUUUUCACUUAAAGAUGCCAAGACUUCCUUGUGGAUCUUUCUCUGGAGGAUGCCAGGUUCUUAACCUCUAAUUCUAACCUGAGUACAGAAGCAGAGAAUACUCUCAACUUUAUUUUUUUCUUUUGGAAAACCCAUCCUCUGGAUGUAAUCAGGGGAGUCGCGAAUCACGAAGCCUCGCUUGAUCAUUUCCAUGAAAAGACAACCUGGUAAAGAUGGGGUCAGACAUCAGCAGCCUCUGGAAAGUGGAGGGCUGAGUGCUGAAAUGCAGACUGCUGGUCCCCUGCGCAGUGUGUGUGAGAGAGAGAUGGAGAGACAGAGAGGAGGAGGG
Felis catus (domestic cat) is the source of this 3358-nucleotide long non-coding RNA. RefSeq lists it as uncharacterized. The transcript has 5 exons. NCBI's taxonomy places the organism in Eukaryota, Metazoa, Chordata, Mammalia, Carnivora, Felidae. The record is from RefSeq and is a predicted model, not a curated record.